GCCCCGGCUGCAGCCUCUAUGACAGAGAUGCUUCAAGGCAGCAGGGCUGGUAUGCACAUUGUGCUGUCACUCUGGUCAGUGGUGCAGCAGGAGCUGAGCAGGCAGUCAUGCAGCUAAGGAGCCUUCCCCCAUCACUGUAGCGUCAGCCCCAUGUGGUUGAGGAGCACGAGUGUGCCUGCAGCUUGUCUUGCCCCUGCAGCUUGUCUUGUCCCAGUAUCCCUGCUGCACAGGUCCCUCCAUGCUUGCUUUGCUCAGGUGAAAUGAGUCAGGGCAGAUGAGUGGGGUUAGGCUUCAAAUCCUGGGGUUCUUGGCCUGUUUUUUUGCUUUAGGAAGGGUACAAGAAGUGAAAGGUAUUGGUGGGAGCAUCCGGGAGCUGGAAUCCCAGCUCCCCAGCCUCUACCGAGGCAAGGCAAGAAGGACUGGAGCUAACUGGGUGCUGCCCAGCACAGUGUGGGGAACAAACAGCAUCAGUGGCCACAGCACACCUCCUCUCAUUAUUUAUUGCUUACUCCUCAGAAAAGGCCUCUGUUUGCCUAUUUUUUGAUGAUUUUGCUGCAAAAUCUGUUGAUAGAGAGAUCAGAAAUUUUGCUAAAACCUCAGCUGUUGAAGUGAUGGUACUGCUCCAUUGACCAUGCUUAACCAGUACUCAACCAGCGCUGGCUCUUUCAUUCCAGCUGGGAUCAGCAGUUAUUCUCUCAGACAUCAAUACCACUGUGGGCUGUUGUCAUCCACAGCAGAGACCUUUGUCCAUUUCCCCUCUCCAGCCUUUCAGUUGACACUUUGAUACCUCAUCUUCACGCUGCCUCCAAGUUCAUUGAUACUGGCCAGGGUCUUCCCAAAUCCUCUGCCCAUAGUGAGGGUUUGGAUUUCUGGGAAGCUCUGGAAAGGCUUCCUGGGACCUGCACAGUGGUCUAUCCCAUGCAACUCCACAAAAAGGCCCUUCUAUCACUUCUGUAGGUUUCCCAUGGGCUCAGGUCUCAGCAAAGCUGUGCAGCAUGAGCCAGGGUGCCCUUCCCCUGGCUCCUUAUCUCCCCAGCCUGUCUGUGCAACUCCCGGUGCUGCUGCCUCCCCUGCCUUUUACCUAUGUGUUUUUAUGGCUCAGAGGGAGCCGUCCUGCCCCAAUUCCCUGCAUGCUCCUAAUUUCAUAGUUCUCUCCAUGUAUCCAUAUAUAUCCAUAUAGCAUUUGAUACAGGUUUUAUGGGCAUUUCCAUACGUUUUACAGACACAGCCAUUACAGAGCCAGGUUUCUCCCGAGAAACCUCAGGGGAGCAGAGCACUGAAUCGCCUUAGUCUUGGCCCCAGAACAAGGCUCUCUUCUCUCCCUUGCUGGGGCUGCCGCUAUCAGCGCUGCAGAGGGCUGGGGGACGGCUUGGGGCUGGUCAUGCCAGCCUUGAGAGCCAGGAUGCUGUCUGCAGCCUCAUCCAUCCUGCUUCUUGCAGCCUCAUGCUGCAAACCCCAGGGCUGUCACUUCUGCCCUUUGCUCCCUUUCCAGAUGGAUGCCACUGGCAAGGGACUGCUUUGAAUUCAGGACCACAAUCUGUAUGGCUGGGUUGCCAGCAUCCAGCCUGUUUGCCUACCUGUGGGGCUUUACAUCUGGCUGGCUGUGGAGACUGGGAGCCCCUGGCUGUAGUGCAGAGAGUGAUGCCAUCCCAGCUGUUGGGGCAGGGACACUGAUGUACAAGGCUCUGAACUGCAGCUGCUGCAGUGCAUGCAGAACAUCUGACCUCUGACACAGUGGCUUCUGGCUGGUGGAGGGACAGAAAAUAGAUCCAGGUCAUGCAGCUCUCUGCAUGUAUUUUGGCCUGCUACAGAGGCUGCAGUAAUGCCCAGCACUGCACAGGAGCUGACUGUGUUCCCAGCACAAGGAAAGAAGCCUCAGAUCUUGUUUAAAAAGAAGUUGGGUGACAUGUGUCUUCAUCUUCACUAUGGCCAAACCCUAAAGCAGCCUGAAGUGCAAAUCUAAGGCAUCACCAUGACAUUGUCACUAGGUGCUGGGCUGUUGAGCACUGUGUGCAGGGGAAGAUGGAUUGGGACAAGUGCAUGCAGGAUUGCAUGCACUUAGCACCCCCACAACCUAUUGCUAUUUGACAGGGGCAAAUGUGGCAGCAUCUGGCCUCACUUCAGGUCCCCAGUUCUCCUGGCCUCGUGUUGGACUGAUGGGAUGAGGAAUUUUCCACACUGUGUGUGAAUUCCCAUUUGCAGGGCAAAUGCCCACUCCCACCCAACACUCCCUCAAGGGCUGCUCCUUGAUGCUCAGCCAUCCCAAACACGGCUGUGGCAUCAUCCAAUCCAGCCCUGCAUGUGAGCAGUGCCCUGGAUCAGCUAUUAAUAGCAGCUCCCCUCUCCCUUUUUGAGGGCUGGUGGGAGUCCAGGGUACAUCCCACUCUCUUUUCUUGAACAGAUCCUGAAAGCAGGAACCAUUUGUGGCUUUCCUGGCCAGCGUGUCUUUCCUUGGCCUCCAGCAUGUUCUAUUUUCUGUGCUGUUUACUGUUCUUCUGUGGGCUGUCAGGUUUCCACGCUGGGGAAAGGCUUGUAAAUGAGGGGGGGUGGGCAGUGAGUCCGCACGGAGUGGCUAUGGGAAGGCAGGGAUGGAGGAGCACAGACAUGGCCUUUAUCACAGCCUAGGGGAUGUGUGGCUCAUAAAUCCAACCCAGGCAGAUAGGGGAUAAAUCAUCCCAGCUGGGACACUGGUGGUUACCCAUGGUUAGAAAUUAACUUUGUGUUGGAUGGAUCCCAGGCUGUGGGAUGGGAAGGGAAGGCUGCUCUGGGCAGCAUGCCUCCUGCCUGGACAGCCCUGGAGGCAGGCUGCAGGCAGGCAAGGAGAUGCCUGCUGCCCUGGCCCAGCCAGGCAGAGCUGGUGGGCACAAUUAAAGCCAGAUUGAGGAAGCAAACAAGCUGGGGUGGAUACUGUGGAUGAACCUGUGCUGUGGGUGAUGCUCUGGCAUUCACUCUGACCUGUCUGGACUUUGGCACUUUGAUGAGUGUCUGUAGCCGUGGCACUCAUCAUCGAGGGGCUGCAGCACACUGGGCAUUAGGACUGGUCUGCAUGGGAGGGGACAGGGACCCAAGGUGGAAGGGAAGGCAGCAGGGUGUGCUUGCAGGGCAGGAGAAGGUAUGUGCUCAGAGCAGGACUGUCACCUUCCGCCCCAGUUUUGGCAGAAAUGGAAGCCUCAUCUGGUAUCACAGGGACAUCUGGAUGGGGCAGUCUCUGGCCUGGCUCUGUGCCUCUGAGGGUGGGAGAAGGCAGUGAAGCCCACAGACCAUGUUUCACUUUCUAUCUGCAGUAUCCUUCUAGCCCCAGUUCCCCUUUAUUCCAUCUGUAGUCUUCCCUGCCCGUCUCCAUGAACAUCCCCAAACUCUACUAUGUGUGGGGCCAAGGAUUCCAUGACAGCUUUUAGGUAUGCAACCACAGCAACCUCUUCUUUUGCUCAGGUCACGUGUCCACAGCUGGGACCAUGUCACUCUUGGAGUCUCAGAGCACCCACUGAGGAGGAAGAGGGGAAGGGGAAGGGCAGGGGUGACGAGGACACCCCUCCUGCAGUGGGUCUCCAGGCAUCUGGCUCUGUUCACUCCUAGCCAGCUCUCUAAUAGCUCCCCAGCUUUCCUUUCUAAUGAGGCUCUAAUUGGAAGCCGGUUGUGCUUCCCUUCCCCUCCUCUCAGAACUCUCCAGUCCCAGUGCUGCAGGGUGAUUAAGCUGAGGUUUUGGGUUUUUUUAAUAUGGCAGAAUUAUUUUGGAAGGGCCAGGAUCGUUACAUGACGGGCUUCUUGAAAAACCCCAGGCUUCGCCUUUCAGACGAGGCCUUUUCAAGUGGUUUUGCACAGUACACGUCUCUGGGCAGCGACCGUCUCGAACAGUUACUGUUAAUUAUAGAUGCCUCUUUCCCGCUCGCCCAUUACUCAAAGGAUUUUUGUGUGUUUUAACAGUGUUUUACAUCAGCUUGAAUAAGACUCUAUUCAGUAUUUCCAAGAGCUGGAACUUGGGCAUCCCCUGCUGUAUGUGUCGUGCUCUCCUCCCUGCAUCCCUGGGGCCAGGGACCACGCAGCCAGCACGAGCACAAGCCUUCCUCCCGCUGCCCAGCCAGUGCAUGCGCUGCGCUGGGUGCAGGAGUUGUGCCUUCUGCAAGCACGUUCUCUUGGUGUCCUUCUCCUUCUUGAGUCUGCAUGCUGAGCUCUGUGGGCCAUCCCCUGAAUCCACCCUCCAUCAUCCUUACAUGCUGAGCUCCACUGCCCAGGUGCACGCUCAGCCAGACCAUGUGCUCACAUCUGUGUCAUCAUCUUUGCCCAAGGAUUCAGUCUCCCACUCUCAGGCACAAUGGUCCCAUCCUGGGCUCCUUGGGCUGUGCAAGGUCAUCUUCUCCUUGCUGAGUUCCAGGCCAGUGUGUUCCCCUUGCAUUAACACAGUAGCUGGGGCUGUUCCCCAAGUUCUCCUUCAUUGCCCAACUAUUCAACAGCAAAUUAUUGCACUAAUGUCCUUGACAAUGCUCUUACCUCCCAUGCCAUCCCACCCCAUUUGUACCCUCUGCCUGCAAAAGCCACCAUUUUUUCCAGCUUGCCUCCUGUGUUUUACCUUAGGGGUAGGCCGUGAGAAUAGUUUGCAUCUUCUCCCAUGACAGCCAAGCUGGUUUAGCCAUCCUCCUUGUGAAAACAUCUUGUCCUAAGUAUUUUCCCAUUCCCACUGCAAACCCUAGAUGCUCAUCUGGGAAUGCUGGUUCCUUUAGAGAGCUCUGGUGGGUUUGAGAGGGGUGAUUUCCCCCUGCAGAGUGUUGCUGUGCCUUCUCUCCAGCUGCAAGCUAGGUGUUUCUGCUCCUGAAGCCAAGUAUUGAGCUCUGUGUCUCUCUUGAGUGAUGGGAACCCCCCCAAGCUGUGCUGAGCACUCCACAGUGGAGGCACAGCCUCGUGAGCAGAGCACCCUGCCCAAGUGCUGGGCAGCUGGCCUUGGCAGUGGGUGCCCCUGCCAGCAUUGCAGCUUUGGUCAGUGGAGAAGCCUAGAAGGAUUGGAAAAUAAGGAGCAGCAUCAGGACUGUUCUGCUGUCCAGCUUCACAAGCCCAGAGGUGACAAGAGCUUCCCCUGUGUCCUCUGCGAGCUGCUGGCUGCUCCCCCAAGAAACCACAAAUUGGAGGGAAAAAAUGGGUCCUCAUGCCUGCCACCCAUCCUCCUAAAGGCUGGAGUGAGAACUGGGGGUGGGGCGGCACAGCUGGGGGCACAGCAGCAUUGUUCCCCAUUUAGGGAAGGAGGAGAUGUGCCUUGUUUGGGCACCUCUGCAGCCCUCACCUCCUCCACCUCACUGUACAGGGCACUGUGGUCAGGCCCAUUUAUAAAGCUAGUAAAUAUAUUGGCAGAGUUUGUGUCCCCUCCAAAGGUCAAUAUUUGUGCAGAGUUUAAUUUUAACUUAACAAGCAGUUGUUUGCAGAGGCUGCCUGUUUGUGUGUGUGUGUGUGUGUGUGCUUCCCCACUGAUCGAUGCCCGUGGGGAGGAGUGUGAGUGGCUCAGGUGUGUGCACUGACUCACUGGGGUCCAGAGGGGGUUGGUGACACUUCCCGCUCCCGGAGAUGCUCCGGAUGCAGGGGCAGCAUUAUGUGGUCCAGCAGAUAAGGUCCAGGGUCUGUGGCUGAGUCUAUAAAUGCAACCCACAAACCUCUCCAGGAGGUGACAGUGGGCAACAUGUGCCCCAUGAGCAUUAGCACAAACAGCAGCCAAUGGGGACAGUGGCUUUCCCAGCCUGUUCUGACCGGUGCUCUGGGCUUGCUACAGCAGCCCUGCAGCCACAUAGCCCCCAGUCUUGUCCCUUCUGAACCCAUGUGGCUUUUGUGGCUCUCAUCUGUGUUCUGGCAGCAUGGGUCUCCCAGCUGAGCAUAUUGUUCAGGCUGUUUCCAGGGCUCUUCAGUAUCACUGCCUAUGGGGUUUUAUACCCCCUGUCCACCCUCCCACCACACCAGGCCCCGGGGCUGCUGACUGACCUCAAAGAGAAAAGCAGGCUGCGAGGGACGGCAGCAGGGAUGGGCAGGGGUAAACAUGGGGCUGGGGCCGGGCAGCAGUGGGUGCUGGAGAUGAGGUCAGGCCGUGACGUGAGCCCUGCGGCUUUGGGGACAGCCGUGGUCAGGCUGCUCAAGGAGGGGCGGCUGUUUUCCUGCAGCUCUGCCGCUUGCUCCUGGUGCCCGUCUAACUUAUAAACUUUAAUGGCCAGUUUAAAAGGUUCCUGCCAUGGGCACCUUGUUGCCAGAUUUAGGUUUUUAAUUUGGAAACUUUCCCCUCUGUGGUCAGAGGAGGAAGGACUUGGGUCCGCUCAGGACCAGUCAUCAGGACACGUGGGUGCCAAAGAGAGUGUCCAAAAGGACCGUGCUGUCGUCACCGGUGUCGGGACAGGGUUGGCCACGCAUGGGGCAGACAAGCUGGAGGAGCCCCUGGUCCCCUCCCGCUGCCCACAUAUUGGUGGAAUAAAUUUAGCUCCUCCUCCGCUGCUGGCUGGGGGAGCACCGUCAGUGCCACCUGCUCCAGCACAGUCCUGCCCCUCAGCCCCAGGGACCACCACAGCUCUGGGCUGCGUGGGCAGCGUUCUCAUCCUGCAGCCCUCGGGAGACACCAGGGGCACACAAACCCCAGCUUGCAGGGACGAGCAUUGGCUACAGACACAUUUGCUGCCGCCAGCGGAGCUGGGGUUAGACGCAGAGCCAGGGUUAGACACAGAGCCAGGGUUAGACACAGAGCUGGGGUUAGGUACAGAGAAGGGAUUGUGCACAGAGUAAUGCCUGGAUGUACUGCUUGGCAGGUGGAGAGGAUGCAGGGCCUGCACUGUGCGAGACACUGAGGGCAUGGCACUGCUGCUCUUCCUUCUCUUCCUCACAUCCCACCUUCCCUGAAGCCCCUUGGCAGCCCCUGUGAGGUCUGGGUUAGCAGAAUCACAUUUCCCUACUGAGAACUCAGCUCUCCUCUGCCUGCAAAGACUCAAGAAACCCUUGCAAUGCCCAGCAGUUGUUGGGUGCUGGGACACAAGGUGAGACCUAGCCCUUUGCAUUCAACAUGGAAACCAGCCUGUAAGCUUGAUGGAAUCCUUCCCAUCCAGCCCUGGGGAGAACAGGGACAUCUCACCCCCCCCAGCUGCAGCCACCUGGGGUUACUAACAGUGGGGUUCCAAGGAGUGACUAUGGCUUGGCUGGCUCUCUCCUGUCACCAGACUGAUGUGGUGAGGCUUGUCCAUACCUUCAUGCUGUACAGGCUGGUUGUCUGAGAGCACUGCAUGAGGGCUGGCCCUUCCAGUGUGUGCUGAUGUGUCCAUGCUCUAAUGGGCUGGAUCAGAGCCCACCCUGGGGCAUCUUGGCUACCAGGAGGGUCCAGGACUUUGCUGGGGGCUUGGGGAGCUGAAUGGCGGACAAGAUGGCUGGCUUGGCAAAAUUCUGCACCCCAGGGGUUGAACCUCCCCAGGGUGGGCACCCAGAGCAGUAUAAAUAGCACAUGAAGCCAGAGGAGCAGAGGAGUGGCCCUGGUUUACCAGCACUUUCAUACCAUGGCUUUCAAGUGGUUCCCCUGCCUCUUCCCCAUGAGCCAGUGGCACAUCUGCACCCAGCCGGCUGCCUCCAGUGCUGUGCCACGUGCUCUGUGGCUGCUGGAGCCGGUGCCACGUGCCAGCCCUGGAACAGCCCUGCCUUUGCCAGCCCUGUAAUUGAUUCCUGCUCUCCUGCACGGGUGGAGGCUGCAGAUCUGUAGCCUGGUAGAAGGCAGUGGGCUGUGGGCACCAGCUGCAGGAGGCAGCAUGGACAGAGUGAGGAGCAGCCCAGUCCUCAGCUCUGAUGUCAACUUGAAGAGCUGCCUUUUGAGCUUCCAGGUGUUUGAAGAGGUUCUCUGCCAACCUCAAUUCCUGGAGGCAGGGCAUUUGAGGGAACCCCUUUCCCCCACUUUGGGGCUGCUGGAGGAGCUGGGGCUGUUGGGGAGCAAAGAAAGAGCUCCUUGACUAUUUGAGAUGAUGGCAGCUGAUGGCAGUGCAGGGUGGGCCUACAGGGGUCCCUUGUUACUUCCCCAAGUCCGCAGAAAGACCUGGCCAUAGUGAUGUCAGGGGUUUAAGUUGAGGAGGAUUUUGUAGCCUGGCACCAAAUAGAAGACAAUGUAUUUGAACAUGUUAUUAUGAAUAAGGUUGAAGGUAGACCAAUUUUUAGACUGGAGGGUGAUGGUAUUACAGGAGAGCGGGACUGCAAAUAGAUGAGAUUUUACAUGAGCACAGGGCAGGUGGAAUCAGACGUCCUUAGUACCUUGUUUUCCAGUACUGCUGCUGACACAUAGUGCUGCAUGGAAGAAAAUACAUAGAAAAAUAGGUAUAAAAAUGGUGAGGCUUUUAGAAAACACUGUAUUUAGCCAAAGGCCAUGGUUUUGCUGUCUGGAGAUGGCAAGGGGUGGGUGAAACCUUCUGAGCAAGGCAAGCAUGAAUGGAGAGAGUGAUGUGAUGAGUGGGCAGGGGGCUGGAAAAAGAAGCAGUUGCCAGAGCUGAGGAGGUCUUUGAUCCUCAUUGCUCAAGGGGGAGCAGUGAAGCUCCGCUCAUCUCUCCCAGAACAGGCUGGGAUUCCUGCCCUUGAAAGUGAGGAACAACUUGGACUGCAGUGGCUGAACCUGGCAGGACAGAGAUGGAAGAGGCUGCAGCAACAAGGAGAAAUCUGCUUGCCUAGGUGGAGUGGCACAGCAUGGGGCAGAGUUGGGGCCAUGGCUCCCAGCUCCCCCAGCCCUCUAUGACCCCCAGGUAGCAUCACAGAGACUCUGUCCCUCUCUCCAAGGGCUGAAAGGGCGACGGUGCCCUGACAGAGUGUUUUAUUCGCAGCAGGUGCCUGAAAUCCAACCGUGGUGGUGCAGCAAUCCCUCCCCUCACCUGGAGAUGAACCCAGCUUGAGAGGCACGGCUGUGCAGGGUCAGGCCCUGCCAGUGUUGGGAUUGCCCCUGCCAUAACCAGAGUGACUCCCUGGCAGCCUGACAGGCUGGUCCUGCCGUGGGAGACAGGCGCGUAAUGCCUGAUUUCACAGCACUGGCAUGCUCUGUUUGCUUGUGGCAAUGAUCUCUCUGCCCUGUCCACCUCCAGCCCUUGUCCAGACCCCAACCUGCAGCUCUGUCAGUUGGAAUUAGGUACAAGAUUUGGGCUAAAAUAUCUUUGCUGUUGGCUGGAGCAUUGAGAGAGAGGGGAAAGGUCAGCCUGUCAUAUCUGGAGAUGGAGCUCCUUCCCUGCCACCAACCCAUGUGUGGCAUUCCCCAGAGCUGCCUUCAGCCCCCGCAGCCAGCACUGGGGUUUUGCAAGCCCCACACAGAAGGCAGACAUUUCCCCAUCUUUCUGAUGCUGAGGUUGUCCAUGAGAUGGGUGUAUAGGUCCCUGAGCUGUCUGGAACAAACCAAAGGAAUACUUGUGAAGGAAAGAGGAACAGGAGUGUCCAUGCAGAAAGAGUCUCCCAUUUGCUGUCUGCUCCCUGAGUGCUCCUUGCUGUGCCAGAUUUUUCCAGCAAAGCCGUGUUGAGAGGAGGAACUGUCGAGCAGCAGCCCCCUGCCCUCGAUGCCUCCAAGAACUGGGGUUGUUUGGCAACAGAAAAGCAGUGAUGUCCUGUGGGACAGCUGGCAGCCUAGUGCAGGAAGUGCUAGGGGAGGCAGAGCAGGAUCUGUGGCACCCUGGCAAACUCCAGCCUUGGACUUACAGGAGCACUCUAUCUGUGUCUCAGUGUUGCGUAGUGCUGAGCCCAAGCCGAGGCUCCUUAUCACCUCACGGUGAGGUGCACAGCCCUGAGCAGCCUUCCAUGUCCCUGCAAUCUUGCCCUCUCCCAAAGUGCUGCUUCCUGCUUGUCUUGCUGGGCCCUGGCUUUGUUGGCUGAGCUCGCUUAGCUUUGACAAAGUUUAUAGUGCUGGAAUGCAGAAUGGCUGCUGGCCUCCCUCCAGCCUAAACAUCCCCACCCCAGAGUGCGACAGGCGCUGAUAAGGACCCUGCCCAGGAUCUGCCGUGCAGGAGAAGGGCAGGCAUUUGCCUCUGCUCUGCAGCAGCUCUACACUGCAGUGACACAGCAGGAGG
Molecule: long non-coding RNA, 10025 nt
Organism: Catharus ustulatus (Swainson's thrush)
Lineage: Eukaryota; Metazoa; Chordata; Aves; Passeriformes; Turdidae
Exons: 3
Source: RefSeq, a predicted model, not a curated record